Long non-coding RNA from Astatotilapia calliptera (eastern happy), 1098 nucleotides. NCBI's taxonomy places the organism in Eukaryota, Metazoa, Chordata, Actinopteri, Cichliformes, Cichlidae. The record is from Ensembl.
GAAGAAAACGUUUGAGGAGAACUGAACAGUUGGAGUUUGACAUUUGCCACCUGUGGAGUAAAAUGGCAAGAAGAGACAGUGGAACACAGGACAAAGCUGAAGGAGAACUGCCGGGACUGUUGAAGUGGGAGAGGACAAAAGAGUGAGAGGACAGAGUGAGAAGACUAGCAAGGAAAUACAGGUGCAGCAGUAAUCUCCUGAGAAAUCUUAAGAGGCCAGUGAGAAGCAAGAACCAUUCCAGGCAUAGCUGACAGCCCAGGCAGUAGUUGAGGUCAAAGGUCGAGCUGGUUGGGGCCCAUCAUGAGAUCAGACUUUGGAGCCACAGCAAGGACCAUGAAACUGCGUUGGACUGAGAGCUGUGCCACGGGGGGUUUCCAGAGGCCAACAGAGGAGAUUGUGGACAACAGACGGGCACCUGAAGGAUGAGGGGAGCGUGCCAAGCUCCAUCGACAACGCAGAGGGAGUCUAAGGAUGACAUCAUGAUUCUGUGAAAAGCACAGGAACCAGAAGCUAUGGUGGUGAUAACAGCAGUUUCCUAUGAGGUCUGCAGCUUUGGAAAUAGCUGAGACCCAUGUUGACAAACAACAAAACUAACUGGUAUGUUUGAAUGUUUAUUCUACAUACAUUUGGACUCUGGUCCUAUGGACAAUGAUGGAAACAACUGGAAGAGACAUUCAUGACGCCCUGCAGAGCUCAAACCACCCUGCAGAGAGACAUGUGAUUUGCACACCCGGAGGAAGCAUCACCAAGCUGAGAUGUUUUUGAAAAUGUUACUUUCUUAUUUUCACUAUUAAAUUAACAAUUUCUUUGUUUGCUUGUAGGAUGCAGGUUGCCAUUGGAUGAGAUUAAUGAGGAAUGGGAUAACUGCUAAUACAUUUGUUAAACUGUGUACUUUUACAGUAAUUUAGGGUGAUUUGACAUAUGCUGAGUAUAAAAAUGUUUGCAUUAAAACUGUCAGUCAUGAGGUAUUCAUAACUAUGAAUUUUUCUAGCAUAAAGGUCAAUAAGGGGGGAAAUGUUAGAUUUGUAUUGUUGAUUGUCAUUUAUGCUUAGAAACAUUUACCCACAUAUGCUUAGAAGUGUAUAUAAUCAUUGGUGG